Molecule: ribosomal RNA, 511 nt
Filed under: uncultured bacterium
Lineage: Bacteria
Description: bacterial SSU rRNA
Rfam family: Bacterial small subunit ribosomal RNA
Source: RNAcentral
GAUGAACGCUAGCGACAGGCUUAACACAUGCAAGUCGAGGGGCAGCAAGAAUUGUAGCAAUACAAUUUGUUGGCGACCGGCGCACGGGUGAGUAACGCGUAUGCAACCUACCUAUCAGAGGGGGAUAGCCCGGUGAAAGCCGGAUUAAUACCGCAUAAAACAGGGGUCCCGCAUGGGAAUAUUUGUUAAAGAUUAAUUGCUGAUAGAUGGGCAUGCGUUCCAUUAGUUAGUUGGUGUAGGUAACGGCUCACCAAGACAUCGAUGGAUAGGGGUUCUGAGAGGAAGGUCCCCCACACUGGUACUGAGACACGGACCAGACUCCUACGGGAGGUAGCAGUGAGGAAUAUUGGUCAAUGGGCGAGAGCCUGAACCAGCCAAGUCGCGUGAAGGAUGACUGCCCUAUGGGUUGUAAACUUCUUUUAUAGGGGAAUAAAAAGUGGGACGUGUCCUAUAUUGUAUGUACCCUAUGAAUAAGCAUCGGCUAACUCCGUGCCAGCCGCCGCAGUAACAC